UGAGAUGAAAUUGUUCUUUUUGAGAUUUUGGAGCUAAAAAUGAUCACAACUUAUAACUUGAAAUUCUAAAUUACGUUUUAUUCCUAGGUUUAAAGUAUUUUACUUGAAUUUAUCUGGUAUAAAGUUACUAUAAGUUACUAAUAUAUAAAACAUUAAGAACAUGGCUUAGUUAGAGCGGAAAAGGCUUCUUCCAAAUAUGUUUCAACAUUUAAUACAAAUAUCUUUAUUGUUUCAUGUGAUUUCUAUGACUUGCAUAAAAUCAACGGUAGAUAGGCAAAAAGUGAAUCUUGUUGUGUGUUGAUUAUAUAUGUUUAAGUUGCAUACUUCACCCACAUAGGUGGAUAAAUUGAAUAUAUUCAGAAUUCUAAAUAUACAAAUGUAAUUUUUAAAAAGUGUAUUUUCUACAGCAUUGCUGAGGAGCUGAGAUAUUAAUGUUAUGACUAGCUAAAGUGUCUGGUUGUGUUUGGGGACAAAAUGCCUGCUGGAGAAAUAGGCUAGUAAGAGGUGAAGGUGAAGAUCAUUAGAGGUUUCAGAGCUGGCUGGGAUGGGAUGCUGGGGUUGUGUAACUGUGCCUAGAGGGCGGGGUUCCUGUACAUUCCUACUUCACCAGAUAACCUGCCCCCAGCACCACUCCAGCUUCUGCCAGACAGAUGGAACUCUCCAACAUGAUAAUCUGCGCAGCCACUCCAACAAGCAGGACUGCCUGAAGUUGUCUGAGGAUGCGGAAGAAAAGAUUUGCGGCCUGGGAGCGCUCCUAACCCCCCAGAUCGAAGUUUUUCACUGGUCAGUACAAUGAAGGUUGAUGGCAUGAUCAUCCAACUUGCCUCAAAGGAUUCAUUGGUGUGCUGUUGUCAAGCAGAAGUUUCCAAAUAUGAGCUCUCUAACUCAGAGGAAGUUAUUGGAUCCAGGCAGAAAGGCGCCUAGGAACUCCCUAAGUGUGCAUAAUUUGUCUUCUGAGAAAGUUGCUUCAGCAUUUUUUGUUUGUUUUUGGAAUACUUCUCUCUACAGUAUCCUCCAGACUCUAAACUACUAGACAGUUCCCUAAGUUCCAUCAGAUCUGUCCUAUUUCAGGGGGGUAAGAGAUCAAUCGAAGGACUUAUAUGCAUGCAUAUAAGCAUAACCAAUGGA
This is a long non-coding RNA of Myotis myotis, 1128 nucleotides long. RefSeq lists it as uncharacterized. The transcript is spliced from 3 exons. The record is from RefSeq and is a predicted model, not a curated record. NCBI's taxonomy places the organism in Eukaryota, Metazoa, Chordata, Mammalia, Chiroptera, Vespertilionidae.